UACGAAGGGGGCUAGCGUUGCUCGGAAUUACUGGGCGUAAAGCGCACGUAGGCGGUCUUUUAAGUCGGGGGUGAAAUCCUGGAGCUCAACUCCAGAACUGCCUUCGAUACUGGAAGACUUGAGUUCGGGAGAGGUGAGUGGAACUGGCGAGUGUAGAGGUGAAAUUCGUAGAUAUUCGCAAGAACACCAGUGGCGAAGGCGGCUCACUGGCCCGAUACUGACGCUGAGGUGCGAAAGCGUGGGGAGCAAACAGG
This 254-nucleotide ribosomal RNA is filed under the name uncultured bacterium. Its description in RNAcentral is "partial 16S ribosomal RNA". It matches the Rfam family "Bacterial small subunit ribosomal RNA", at positions 524 to 776 of the family's 1533-position model. The record is from RNAcentral.